GAAAUACUCCCUCCGUCCGAAAAUACUUGUCACCAAAAUGGACAAAAAGGGUUGUAUCUAGAACUGAAAUACAUCUAGAUACAUCUUCUUUUAUCCAUUUUGAUGAUAAGUAUUUCCGGACGGAGGGAGUACCAG
Non-coding RNA from Triticum aestivum (bread wheat), 135 nucleotides. NCBI's taxonomy places the organism in Eukaryota, Viridiplantae, Streptophyta, Magnoliopsida, Poales, Poaceae. The record is from Rfam.